RNAcentral lists this ribosomal RNA (253 nucleotides) under uncultured bacterium. RNAcentral describes it as "partial 16S ribosomal RNA". It matches the Rfam family "Bacterial small subunit ribosomal RNA", at positions 524 to 776 of the family's 1533-position model. The record is from RNAcentral.
UACGGAGGAUGCAAGCGUUAUCCGGAAUUAUUGGGCGUAAAGCGUCCGCAGGUGGCUAUGUAAGUCUGCUGUUAAAGUGUGAGGCUCAACCUCAUAAGAGCAGUGGAAACUACAUAGCUAGAGUGCGUUCGGGGCAGAGGGAAUUCCUGGUGUAGCGGUGAAAUGCGUAGAUAUCAGGAAGAACACCGGUGGCGAAAGCGCUCUGCUAGGCCGCAACUGACACUGAGGGACGAAAGCUAGGGGAGCGAAUGGG